This 395-nucleotide ribosomal RNA is filed under the name uncultured bacterium. RNAcentral describes it as "bacterial SSU rRNA". It matches the Rfam family "Bacterial small subunit ribosomal RNA", at positions 505 to 898 of the family's 1533-position model. The record is from RNAcentral.
GUGCCAGCAGCCGCGGUAAGACAGAGGGUGCAAACGUUGUUCGGAAUUACUGGGCGUAAAGCGCAUGUAGGCGGCCUAGCAGGUCGGAUGUGAAAUCCCUCGGCUCAACCAAGGAAGUGCAUUCGAAACCGCAAGGCUGGAGUCCCGGAGAGGAUGGUGGAAUUCUCGGUGUAGAGGUGAAAUUCGUAGAUAUCGAGAGGAACACCGGCGGCGAAGGCGGCCAUCUGGACGAGGACUGACGCUGAGAUGCGAAAGCGUGGGGAGCAAACAGGAUUAGAUACCCUGGUAGUCCACGCUGUAAACGAUGGGUGCUAGGUGUCACGGGCUUUGACCCCUGUGGUGCCGUAGCCAACGCAUUAAGCACCCCGCCUGGGAAGUACGGUCGCAAGACUAAA